Molecule: non-coding RNA, 589 nt
Organism: Schizosaccharomyces pombe (fission yeast)
Lineage: Eukaryota; Fungi; Ascomycota; Schizosaccharomycetes; Schizosaccharomycetales; Schizosaccharomycetaceae
Source: the annotation of a GenBank genome assembly
AAAAUACCCUCAAGAGAAAUUCGUCUUCGAAACUUACCAAAGCUUGAAAAGCCUACAAUAAGCAGUAAAUGUACUUAUUUAAACUACUGCUUUUGUAGUAUGAUGAGCAGAAAAAUAACAAUCCUAGAACCCUUAUCUCACGAGUUCGCUAAAGUAAAAACAGUAUUUAAUAGAAUUCAAAUUUUGGUAUUCUUUACCCAUUCGUUUGACAUUUCAAUUUUUUUACUGAUUUAAUUGUUCGCUAAAAUAAAUAGGUUGUUUUUUAGAAUCAGAUACUGUCACUCAUAAUAUCUUUCGUUUAGUUAUUAAAUUUAUUAAAAUCAUUUCUGUUCUAUGUUUCUUUUUGAUGAUUGGCAUCCAUAGUCUAGUUAUCGUAUGAAUCUGCUCACAAUAACGGUUAAGUCAUCUGUUAUAGAUGUGUUCCGUAUAUCCUUAGAACGAUAGAAUUCAGAUUAUGCUUGAACAUAUAUUAAGUAAGAAUAUUUUGUUGACUUGCUAAAAAUAAAGAACCAUUGCCAUGAAAAUGUGUUCUUCUGUCGAAUAAACUACUUAACAGCUUAUUAUCCGACAAAAAAUUUUGAUCAGUAAU